UACGGGGGGGGCAAGCGUUGUUCGGAAUUAUUGGGCGUAAAGGGCGCGUAGGCGGUGUGGUAAGUCAGGUGUGAAACCUCCAGGCUCAACUUGGAGCUUGCAUCUGAAACUGCCGUGCUAGAGUGUGGGAGAGGAGAGUGGAAUUCCUGGUGUAGCGGUGAAAUGCGUAGAUAUCAGGAGGAACACCGGUGGCGAAGGCGGCUCUCUGGACCACAACUGACGCUGAGGCGCGAAAGCUAGGGGAG
This 245-nucleotide ribosomal RNA is filed under the name uncultured bacterium. Its description in RNAcentral is "partial 16S ribosomal RNA". It matches the Rfam family "Bacterial small subunit ribosomal RNA", at positions 524 to 768 of the family's 1533-position model. The record is from RNAcentral.